CCCUUAGAUGUCCUGGGCCGCACGCGCGCUACACUGACAUGUUCAACAAGCCUCCUAGUUCGACAGGAUUUGGGAAAUCUUUGAACGCAUGUCGUGAUAGGGAUAGAUCAUUGCAAUUAUUGAUCUUGAACGAGGAAUUCCUAGUAAACGCGAGUCAUCAGCUCGCAUUGAUUACGUCCCUGCCCUUUGUACACACCGCCCGUCGCUACUACCGAUUGAAUGGUUUAGUGAGAUCCUUGGAUCGGCCCUGUCGCGGCUGGCAACGGCCGCGUCGGCGCGUCGAGAAGACGAUCAAACUUGAUCAUUUAGAGGAAGUAAAAGUCGUAACA
Molecule: ribosomal RNA, 329 nt
Filed under: uncultured eukaryote
Lineage: Eukaryota
Description: partial 18S ribosomal RNA
Rfam family: Eukaryotic small subunit ribosomal RNA
Source: RNAcentral